GAACCGGAGGAGUCUCUUAAGCUUGCGUGUUCCCGGCUGCAGUGGCUGCCUUGCGGUAUGGGACGAGCGGGGCCCGAGCGGGCGGAAAUUUGAGAGUGUCAUGAGCAGUCUCUUAAGUGCCCUUCAUAAGGGCAGUAUCUGUGUUUGAAAUAAGUUGAACCUUCAGCAGUUGGACUCACAUAGAGCAUUGUCUCCUCCACUGAGGUCCAUUCUGAAACAAGGAUUCUCCUUGGAACUCCAGGGACAGAACUUCCUGUAAACAUCUGGACUGUCCCCCCUGUGUGACCCAGAUGAAAAAAGAUGACCAAGGGCUUUCAGCCUCACUUAUGGGAGAGAGUGGAGUUGGGGGUAAGAGGAGUCCAAACAGAGAUUCUUAUAAUUUUCUGCAAAGAGGAAGCUUUGGAAACUGACUAAGAAUCUGUGUAAACAUAGUGAGUAAACAUGCAGACCAUUUCUCAGAACAAAAUGUGUGGACAGGGUUCCUCUGUUCUGUGGAUCCAAAGUGCCUCAUGAUGCUAAGGCAAGGUGGAUGGUGGAGACUUAGAAUGAACACAGACAUUUUCCAGGGGAAUAUUUUAACUUCCAGCCAAUCCUUUUCUUUUUAGGAUUUAACAUCAAUAUGAUCAUUUUCACUUUACAGAUGAAUGAAUUCAGGUGCAGACAUUGUGGCUCUCAGGUUUGCCCCAUGCAUCUGUGCUAAAGCCGGGGGAUGGCCCUCACCUCUCAGCAUUACCAAAUGAGCUUUCAGGCUAAUGCACUCUGAACUGGCAUCGUCUCCCAGUUGUGAGUGCUUUGAAAUAAAACAGAAGCUAUGCUACAGCUGAACAAUUCAAAUCAUUGGCAGAAAGUGUGGUAGGUAAAUGGCACUAUGAAAAAUGAAAAGCAUCUUGUUUCCUGUGAACUAAAAAUGGAUAGGUCCAAUUAUUGCCCCUUCCACACAUGAAGACUGCACAAAGUUAGUUAAUUAUAAAUAAUUCAUCCAACCAUAGAAGGGAUGAGCUAUAUGUUAUAUUACUGAGCUUUAAAAAUCUUUAUGAGUGUAGCAAGAGACACAUAUACCAACAGCUGCUAAAUUCAGAAUCCUGGGGCAGUAUCUUAUUUUAAUAUAAGGGAAGAACCACACAGUCUAUCGCUCUAGGGAUUUCCUGCUAUAUAAAAAGACCUUAAAUCUACAUGAGAUUUUACUCGUGAUUUCAAAGCACUUAAUAAAAAGCUGUUUUGUUUUGUUUUUUAAUUUGAAUAUCUUUUAACUCUACCCCCAGCCACACUAUUUACAACACAGAUAAUGCUUUCUGGACUAGAUUGCCCAAGGCAGAGGCUUCCUUUUUUCCUCCUGCCUAUUUCCUUCUUUACUUUUUUCUUUUCUUUUCUUUUCUCAUCCUUUCUUUUGUUAAAUUCUUCAACACCUAGCUCAGAGCCCAGCACUUUGUGUUGUGUGUGCAUUGACCGUUGAGCAUGAAUGAUCACCCUCACUGCCAGAAGAGUAAAAAGUCAUAAACAUCGGAGUGGGUUGCUGAGCUCUGAGCAGAAUCAGAAGCUCUAAUUCUCCCAGUGGCUCUGCGGAACUUCUGCCUACUGCACAAUCAGGAGUUGGAGCUGUGUCUUGGGGUGACUUAAUUCAAGUAAAACCUCAGACUGGGAUGUCAGCCAGCAUUCUAAGGAGAACUUCUGUAAGAAUGUUAUGUCUUAAAAUACGUAAAUUCAAGUUCUGAGCCUUAGAACAUAAGGCAAAUAGUACCUUGCCUUACAGAAGGAUAAAGUACAAGCAAUAAAACAAGCCAAGUUGCUGCCUAAAGUCCCUUGACUGAAAUCAUAUUUGUCCAUGAUCUCUUAUUUUGGUGGACCUUUAAUAACUGGGACAAGGAUAUUGAAGAACUAAUUGCUGUGCAUUCAGCAACUGACUGUGCGUGGGUCUGCAAGGCAUGCAACCCAUGCUUGUGCAGAACUUGGAAACUUGAAUCUGGGGAAGACUUAGUUUUUCAAACUCUUGCCAUAGCCCUUCCUUGAUAGGGUUUUACCUAUGAGAGCUCAGAUGCAGAUUUCUUGAGCCACUUAAUCAAGGCCAGAUGUAUACUCUAUUCAUCCACUAGCACUGUUAGGAUGAGUUUUGCCCCAGAGUUUGGGGAGAGAUAAGCAGCUGUGAUUGUACAGAAACAGACACCAAACUUAAGCUGAAAAUUUUACUGCACAAUUGGCCAGCAGUAGUAGGCCACACCAAUAAUAAAGACAAAACCACCAAUUUAAAGCAGCAGUAGAAUCUGGGAAAUGCUCUUUCUGCAAUUGCUUUGAAUACAAAACAUCUCAGAAUUACAGGGAUUUUGCCUGCAGAGUUGCUAAUGAAGAUGUGGCUGGCAGUGUCCCUCGAGUUUGUUUAUCCAGCUGUACAAGAGUCUGUAUGACAGUAACUGGAUUUAUAAAAAUUUAAAAAUACCAAAGCCAACUUCUGAAGAAAGAAGUUUCCCCUAAGUCCACUAAAACCUUGUAUUUAUAAAUGAGAAGCUUUAUUGCUACCACAUCUGCUUAUGUAUAGGUGUGCUUUUACUUGAAAGAAAAUUGUAGACAAGGUGAAACUUAAAAGGGGAGAACAAGAUGGGCCCUUCUUCUUCCUCCCCCUCCCUGUACCAGAGGUCAACUAUGGGGUGGGGGAUAAUUUUGCCCCUCAGGGGACAUUUGGCAGGGUCUGUAAUUUUGAUUUUGAUUGUUACAUUGUGGGAUGAGGAACUGCUGGCAUCUAGAGGCCUGGAACACUCUUGAGCAUCCUAGACUGCACUAGACUGCACUAGACUGCCCCUAACCCCAAACAAAGAAUUUCCAGCCCAGAAUGUCAGUACUACAUUCUGCCCUAGCCCACUGACUCCAAAAAUUGAGUAUGUGCAAAUUGUUGGUAGUUGUUUAAAUCAGAUCUUGAAUUCUCCCCUGGUUUUUCAAUCAGCUUUUGGCCAUUAGUUCCAGAGACAGCUGUUACCAGAUUUGUUCACACAGGGCCUUCUGUUUAGCAGAUCUUGGGUCAUUUAUCUUCCCUUGACCAAAGACACCACUAAACCUAGCUAUUUCACCUCAAAUGAAAGCCUAGGCUAGGUUUCCAGGUACAACUGGCAAUAAAUCAAUGACUACAAAACAGUAAGGGGAAAAUGUGACUUUAGGGUUAUCAGAAAUCCCCUGCCAAUGUUAAAAAAAUCAUAACCCUUCACAAACACACAAACCCCUCAAACGUUUUUUUUAAUUAGCUGAGUUUUUUUCCCUUUAGGACAAUGUUUUUCAAAUUAAAAUCCUGAACCCUCCAGUAUCAGAAAGACCAAGGUGUUAUUAAAAAUGUCAGUUUCUCAAAUCUGUCCGAACCCUCUGGAUUGAGAAUUCUCGAGUGUAUGAAUUUGGUAAUCUCCGCCUUUAAAAUGCACCUGAGGUACACACCAAAUUUUGAGUUACUGUUCUAAGGCAAGGAUUCUCAUUCUUUUCUUCCCUACACAACUGUGUGUGUGACUUUGGGGGUCUCUUUGGAUGUGUACCCAAAACAUCCCCAGGCUGACAGGAGCACAGAGACCAACGGGAUAGAAGUUGGUGUUGUAGAAUAACCCAGAGACAUGUGGGUAACUAUUUCACAGCUAGUUUAAUUAUUUUAUAUGCUAAUUGUUUAUUCACACCUGAGAGGGUGAGGCAAAUAGUAUUUCUAAAACAAAAAGGAAAGAAAAGACAAUCUAGUAACGGUGGAACUUGUAUUACAUGUUUUGGGGGCAAAUUGAUUUAAGUGAAAGGUAGCAGAGAAGUUUGUACUGGGGCCUUGAGUGGCCAACUGCAAUUCUUUAUGGAUUCCCCAGAAAGCAGCUGGGAGCUGGGAGCAGAUGUGACAGGCCAUCCCU
Molecule: long non-coding RNA, 3857 nt
Filed under: Sus scrofa (pig)
Lineage: Eukaryota; Metazoa; Chordata; Mammalia; Artiodactyla; Suidae
Description: lncRNA (ENSSSCG00025015231.1)
Source: RNAcentral